CCUACGGGUGACUGCAGUGAGGAAUAUUGGUCAAUGGUCGGGAGACUGAACCAGCCAAGCCGCGUGAGGGAUGAAGGUACAGAGUAUCGUAAACCUCUUUUGUCAGGGAACAAAGGCGGGGACGUGUCCCCGGAUGAGUGUACCUGACGAAAAAGCAUCGGCUAACUCCGUGCCAGCAGCCGCGGUAAUCCGGAGGAUGCGAGCGUUAUCCGGAUUUCUUGGGUUUAAGGGGGGCGCAGGCGGUCUGUUAAGACAGCGGUAAAAGCCCGGGGCUCAACCCCGGCCCGCCGUUGAAACUGGCAGUCUCGAGUUGGAGAGAAGUAUGCGGAAUGUGCGGUGUAGCGGUGAAAUGCAUAGAUAUCGCGCAGAACUCCGAUUGCGAAGGCAGCAUGCCGGCUCCACACUGACGCUGAGGCACGAAAGCGUGGGUAUCGAACAGGAUUAGAUACCCGUGUAGUC
RNAcentral lists this ribosomal RNA (459 nucleotides) under uncultured bacterium. RNAcentral's name for it is "partial 16S ribosomal RNA". It matches the Rfam family "Bacterial small subunit ribosomal RNA", at positions 338 to 795 of the family's 1533-position model. The record is from RNAcentral.